This 253-nucleotide ribosomal RNA is filed under the name uncultured bacterium. RNAcentral describes it as "partial 16S ribosomal RNA". It matches the Rfam family "Bacterial small subunit ribosomal RNA", at positions 524 to 776 of the family's 1533-position model. The record is from RNAcentral.
UACGAAGGGGGCUAGCGUUGUUCGGAAUUACUGGGCGUAAAGCGCACGUAGGCGGACAUUUAAGUCAGGGGUGAAAUCCCAGAGCUCAACUCUGGAACUGCCUUUGAUACUGGGUGUCUUGAGUAUGGAAGAGGUGAGUGGAAUUCCGAGUGUAGAGGUGAAAUUCGUAGAUAUUCGGAGGAACACCAGUGGCGAAGGCGGCUCACUGGCCCAUUACUGACGCUGAGGUGCGAAAGCGUGGGGAGCAAACAGG